Herpailurus yagouaroundi (jaguarundi) is the source of this 3475-nucleotide long non-coding RNA. RefSeq lists it as uncharacterized. The record is from RefSeq and is a predicted model, not a curated record. The transcript is spliced from 3 exons. NCBI's taxonomy places the organism in Eukaryota, Metazoa, Chordata, Mammalia, Carnivora, Felidae.
CGCGUCACUUCCGGCGGGCCAAGCUGGUCCUGAAGGCAGGUGCUAGGGUCUCUUCCCGGGCGGGUAAAUGAAUAUGAGUAAAUAUUUGUGGAGCGUCUAGCGUUUGAAAGGUGCAGCGCUGCCCAACGAGGACACAGAGAUGAAGUGUGUCUGGAACCCACAACUAGUUGGAAGAGAUGCACGGAAGGAUUGGGGGGAGGCGGUGGAAAACACUGGGAAGACUUCCUUGAGAAGGUACCUAGCACUGUGUGCUGAAUGCUUUACAAUCAUUGCUUCCUUCACCCAGUAUCCUGAGAGGUGCAGAAAGUAACGGUUAAGGAAUGAUCAGUGACCAUUUCUUCCUCCACAAAGAAGGCAUGCCUGAGCUUAUCCUGACGGAACACGACAGGGCUAUUGGCUACGUGACAUUACCUUGCUGAGCUUGGGGAUCCUAACAUGGACACCAGCCCGUAAUCCUGUGCCAAGGUUCGAAGGGCAGGUCAGGAUGUAGCCUAGUCGCUCAUUCCACAUGAAUUCCCAGCCUCGCUCUUGGAUUAGGCGUUCUACCUACAACAAGGAACAAAUGGAACUCUUAAAUAUCCAUCUACUCACUACAUCCCAAACACCAGGAAGAGACUUGUGUACUGUAUGUUUGCCGUGAAUGAAAUUUAGGUAAAUUUGUAUUACUUCCUUAAUAGAAAAUGAUAUUACUAUUAUUAAAAUAGUACUAAAAUAUUAAUAGUAUUUAAAUACUAUUUAAAAUAUUAAAAUGGUCCAAUCCAAUUAAAUUAGAUGCCCAUGUAAAGCAUUGAAUACAGUAUCUAGCACAAACUAAAUAUUCAAUAAAUGUCAGUUGCUGUUAUUAUUUUUCAUGUGAGAAUAGGAGAAUAUAGGAUUUCUCAGCAGGUAAGGUUGUGGUCAGUUAUGAACAUAGUUACAUCCUAUACUGUCUCUAUGCUUAGAAUAGACAAGAACACUGUUAAAGAAAUUGGAAAAUAAUUAAAGAUCCACAGACUUUUCCCUAAAACAUGCUGGACUGGGGAGGGAAGCAUAGGAACUUACUAGUAACAAAAAAACAGUCACCUAUUUUUUGAAGCACUACCCGGUAGUCCUACCCCCAAGGAGUGCCAUGAUUCCUAGAAAAUAUUAGCCCCAUUUUGGAAUUCAUUAUAGUGUCUUCUUUCAAGAAUGAAAAUGUGAUUUUAUUUUAAUGAAUAUUCAGAAAUCUCUGAUAACAUCUUACUUCUUUUAGUCCACGACAGAAUCGCUCAAAUACUCUUUUCAUAUUGCCUCCUUUUUCCAUAGAGAUUACCCUGGUAUGGUCUUCUUCAUUAAUCCAGAUGAGAAAUGUCUUGUCAUAAUUAUGCCUAAUGAAGAGAGAAAUAUGGUGUUGCACAUUAACUACAUUUGUUUCAACACAUGAAAAUUCCCUUUACUUCUGUAGCUUGAUUGCUUCAUUUCACCUUCCUCAUUUCCUAGAAGGCCCUAAUUCUUCCACUGUGCCUGAACAAGUAGUACAAAAUGAUGUUACCUUGACAUAAAGAAUAAGACCAACUCUAACCCUUAAAGAUAUAUUUUUGCCCAACAAGAUUAUAAUGGAUGACAAUAAUUCAAAUAUGAAUAACGUUUGGUUUUGACACUAAUUCUCCUAAUAAGUUCAACCAAAAUCUUGUGCUGCUUAUUUUUUUUUUUUUUUAUCUACAACCCAAGAUGUUUGGGGUAUAGAACAUUUCACAUAUGUUUGCUGCAUAGAUUCUUACUGUCCCCACACACUGAGCAAGUGCUCAUGAACACUUCGCUCCUUUGGGUAGUAUCAUAACAACCUACCAAAGUACAGGAAUCAAAGUGGACUGAGGACUGUUGGCCAAGAUAAAAUACGUGUAUACUCGAUAUCCAUUCUUCCUUGUAGGGUUUUGCUUAAAUCCUCAAUAUAUUUCAUUUUCUGCUCUUUUGUUUUAAUGUCAUGAAACAGAUUCUCUGUGAGGUCAAAUAAUAGGAAGCUAAUUUUUCUUAAAAAUAGUCUUUUUCUCAUGCAUAAUUCAUAUAAACCAGCAUACAUUCUUACACAUGUUAGAAACAUUACAAUACUUUGGUAUUAUACAGACACAAUUUCCAAAUACUCUCUUCAUUUAGCUCAAGCCAGGCAUGCUGUCAACUGCAGGUUAGGACAAGCAGGUGAUCUGAAGGAAAUCCUCUGCACACAUUGCAAAUGUGAAAAUGCUAUGUCCAUACCAGAUUCCCCUGGCAUCUGGCCAGUCACGGGCCAUCCCAGCACAUGUUAAUAAAGGGGAUACUGGCUUAUCAAAUAGAAAGUGGUCCUGCAGGCCAAAAGGGACAAAGCAGAAAGGAGAAAUGGAUGAGAUCAGACACAAGGACAAGUGCUACGCGGCCAAAUUUCAACUUGGUUGAGGUCUGUCAGGCAGUGGUUCUCAGGCUUGGCUGCCCACUGGAAUAAUCUGGGUGCUUUGUAAAAAAUACUAAUACCCAGUUCCUGCCCUCCCCCAGAGACUGUCUUAAUUGUUAUGGGGUGCGGCCUGAACAGUGGGAUUUUUAAGAGCUCGUCAGAUGGUUCUAGUGUACAGCUAAGGCCGAAAACCGUUAGCUUAGCCCAGAUAAAAAUACUUAAUCACUAUAGAUUAUGUUUACCCACCAGCACCAAUGCUAUGCCCUGACAGAGUAGGCCGUGAGUGAGGGACACUAUCUUGAAAAGUCUGUUAUCCACAGCCACCAUUCUCUCUAUGUGUCUGGCAUUCCUGGUUCUUUUAUUAUCAUUCCUUCUACUACAAAGUAUUAGAGAUGUAAAAUAAUUUGUAAAUAAAAAUAGCUAUCAUUAAUUUAGUGGUCACUAUGUGCCAAGUCUGUGCUUGCAUAUUAAUUAAUAUGCUUUUAAUUUUCUUCAAUCCUCACAACACUAUGAGGCAAGUAUAAUCAUUUUAUGAGUGAGGAAAACUGAUUCAGAGUAAAAAAACAACCUACCUACUAUUAGGCAGCUAGGAAGUGACAGAGCCUAGAUUCAAACUUGACCUGUAGGACUUCCAAGUUUGUGCCUUUAACAACAGUACACUAAUCUUCAUAUCAAAAUCAGUGUCAAGAGACUGGCAUUUUUCUUAGUGUGUGUAUACAGUAACAACAUGAAUAUGGAUACCAUAUAUUCAAAUAUGAUUACAUUGAAGUAAGAAAUAAAGACAAUAUGGAGAGGGAAGUCCCUUUAUAAUCUGUGAGUGAAAGGGGUAGGAGACAUUAGAACAGGCUUGGUGACCUGAUGCUGGAAACCUCAAGUGGCUACCUGAGGCAGAGUUGGGCUUGUCUUAACAGAGCAAGCAGAGGGUUGGCCUGAUGGCUACAGAGGCCAAGAGACUGUGGUCUGUAGAGACAAGCACGCUAGUUCAUCUGGUUUGGCGGUGGGACUUAUUUUGUGGCAUUGCAUGUCCUGAAAUGGCAGAUACUGGUUUCUGCUUUUCCUUAGAGUUUAAUUAAAAGUUACUCUUGAAGGGCA